RNAcentral lists this transfer RNA (74 nucleotides) under Candida albicans SC5314. RNAcentral's name for it is "Candida albicans tRNA tN(GUU)1". It matches the Rfam family "tRNA". Rfam says of the family: Transfer RNA (tRNA) molecules are approximately 80 nucleotides in length. RNAcentral also lists the same sequence under 13 other names. Lineage: Eukaryota; Fungi; Ascomycota; Pichiomycetes; Serinales; Debaryomycetaceae. The record is from RNAcentral.
GACUGGGUGGCCAAGUUGGCUAAGGCGUGAGACUGUUAAUCUCAAGAUCGAGAGUUCGAGCCUCUCCCUGGUCG